This 394-nucleotide ribosomal RNA is filed under the name uncultured bacterium. RNAcentral describes it as "bacterial SSU rRNA". It matches the Rfam family "Bacterial small subunit ribosomal RNA", at positions 28 to 414 of the family's 1533-position model. The record is from RNAcentral.
GACGAACGCUGGCGGCGCGCUUAACACAUGCAAGUCGAGCGAGAACCAGGGCUUCGGCUCUGGGGACAGCGGCGAACGGGUGAGUAACACGUGAGUAAUCUGCCCUCGACACUGGGAUAGCCCGGGGAAACCCGGAUUAAUACCGGAUAGCCUUUCGAGCUCUCGGGCUCGUCAGAAAAGGAUGGCUUCGGCUUUCGGUUGAGGAUGAGCUUGCGGCGGAUUAGCUUGUUGGUGAGGAACGGCUCACCAAGGCGACAAUCCGUAGCUGGUCUGAGAGGACGAUCAGCCACACUGGGACUGAGACACGGCCCAGGACUCCUACGGGAGGCAGCAGUGGGGAAUCUUGCGCAAUGAGCGAAAGCUUGACGCAGCGACGCCGCGUGAGGGAAGAAGG